GACGAACGCUGGCGGCGUGCCUAAUACAUGCAAGUAGAACGCUGAAGCUUGGUGCUUGCACCGAGCGGAUGAGUUGCGAACGGGUGAGUAACGCGUAGGUAACCUGCCUGGUAGCGGGGGAUAACUAUUGGAAACGAUAGCUAAUACCGCAUAAGAGUAGAUGUUGCAUGACAUUUGCUUAAAAGGUGCAAUUGCAUCACUACCAGAUGGACCUGCGUUGUAUUAGCUAGUUGGUGAGGUAACGGCUCACCAAGGCAACGAUACAUAGCCGACCUGAGAGGGUGAUCGGCCACACUGGGACUGAGACACGGCCCAGACUCCUACGGGAGGCAGCAGUAGGGAAUCUUCGGCAAUGGACGGAAGUCUGACCGAGCAACGCCGCGUGAGUGAAGAAGGUUUUCGGAUCGUAAAGCUCUGUUGUAAGAGAAGAACGAGUGUGAGAGUGGAAAGUUCACACUGUGACGGUAGCUUACCAGAAAGGGACGGCUAACUACGUG
Molecule: ribosomal RNA, 497 nt
Filed under: uncultured bacterium
Lineage: Bacteria
Description: partial 16S ribosomal RNA
Rfam family: Bacterial small subunit ribosomal RNA
Source: RNAcentral